Molecule: transfer RNA, 85 nt
Filed under: Salipiger pallidus
Lineage: Bacteria; Pseudomonadati; Pseudomonadota; Alphaproteobacteria; Rhodobacterales; Roseobacteraceae
Description: tRNA-Ala
Source: RNAcentral
CUGUCACUGACCGCCGGACGGCGGCUUCAGCUGGCGGCUGAGGGGGGGCGGACCACCGGCCUCAUGUUGAUCCGCGAGGGACAGG